UAUCGAGGAGCGCUGCGACGGGCUGGAUUUAUACCGGCCCGCCAGGCUCGGUUCAAAACCGCGCUCACCUGUA
Molecule: non-coding RNA, 73 nt
Filed under: Hydrogenophilaceae bacterium
Lineage: Bacteria; Pseudomonadati; Pseudomonadota; Hydrogenophilia; Hydrogenophilales; Hydrogenophilaceae
Description: SAH sequence
Rfam family: SAH (S-adenosyl-L-homocysteine) riboswitch aptamer
Source: RNAcentral